Molecule: ribosomal RNA, 525 nt
Filed under: Enterobacter cloacae
Lineage: Bacteria; Pseudomonadati; Pseudomonadota; Gammaproteobacteria; Enterobacterales; Enterobacteriaceae
Description: bacterial SSU rRNA
Rfam family: Bacterial small subunit ribosomal RNA
Source: RNAcentral
GGAGUACGGCCGCAAGGUUAAAACUCAAAAGAAUUGACGGGGGGCCGCACCAGCGGUGGAGCAUGUGGUUUAAUUCGAUGCAACGCGAAGAACCUUACCUACUUUUGACAUCCAGAGAACUUUCCAGAGAUGGUUUGGUGCCUUCGGGAACUUUGAGACAGGUGCUGCAUGGCUGUCGUCAGCUCGUGUUGUGAAAUGUUGGGUUAAGUUCCGCAACGAGCGCAACCCUUUUCCUUUGUUGCCCGCGGUUAGGCCGGGAACUCUAAAGGAGACUGCCAGUGAUAAACUGGAGGAAGGUGGGGAUGACGUCAAGUCAUCAUGGCCCUUACGAGUAGGGCUACACACGUGCUACAAUGGCGCAUACAAAGAGAAGCGACCUCGCGAGAGCAAGCGGACCUCAUAAAAUGCGUCGUAGUCCGGAUUGGAGUUUGCAACUCGACUCCAUGAAGUCGGAAUCGCUAGUAAUCGUAGAUCAGAAUGCUACGGUGAAUACGUUCCCGGGCCUUGUACACACCGCCCGUCACA